This 486-nucleotide ribosomal RNA is filed under the name uncultured bacterium. RNAcentral describes it as "partial 16S ribosomal RNA". It matches the Rfam family "Bacterial small subunit ribosomal RNA", at positions 30 to 507 of the family's 1533-position model. The record is from RNAcentral.
AUUGAACGCUGGCGGCAUGCCUUACACAUGCAAGUCGAACGGCAGCACGGGUGCUUGCCCCUGGUGGCGAGUGGCGAACGGGUGAGUAAUACAUCGGAACAUGUCCUGUAGUGGGGGAUAGCCCGGCGAAAGCCGGAUUAAUACCGCAUACGAUCUACGGAUGAAAGCGGGGGACUUUCGGGCCUCGCGCUAAAGGGUUGGCCGAUGGCUGAUUAGCUAGUUGGUGGGGUAAAGGCCUACCAAGGCGACGAUCAGUAGCUGGUCUGAGAGGACGACCAGCCACACUGGGACUGAGACACGGCCCAGACUCCUACGGGAGGCAGCAGUGGGGAAUUUUGGACAAUGGGCGAAAGCCUGAUCCAGCAAUGCCGCGUGUGUGAAGAAGGCCUUCGGGUUGUAAAGCACUUUUGUCCGGAAAGAAAUCCUUGGCUCUAAUACAGUCGGGGGAUGACGGUACCGGAAGAAUAAGCACCGGCUAACUACGUG